UUAUUUCGCAGGAGCACACACGAUCGGGCAGGCGCAGUGCCAGAAUUUCAGGGACAGGAUCUACAACGAGACCAACAUCGAUUCCGCCUUCGCGACGCAACGCCAGGCCAACUGCCCACGGCCGACGGGCAGCGGCGACAGCAACCUGGCGCCGCUGGACACGACGACGCCCAACGCCUUCGACAACGCCUACUACAGCAACCUGCUGUCCAACAAGGGGCUCCUGCACUCCGACCAGGUGCUCUUCAACGGCGGCAGCGCGGACAACACGGUCAGGAACUUCGCGUCCAACGCGGCGGCGUUCAGCAGCGCCUUCACGACGGCCAUGGUGAAGAUGGGGAACAUCUCGCCGCUGACCGGGACGCAGGGGCAGAUCAGGCUCAGCUGCUCCAAGGUGAACUCCUAAUUAAGGAGUAGUAUGACGGGAUGCGUUCGUUGCUGGAAGCAAAUCGUGUCGACGACGACAUAAACGGGCCACACCACAUAUACCCAUAUAUGUAGUAUAACCACAAGUAUAGGUACGGUGGUGUUGUACUAGUACACGUAAAGUAUAUGGCAGCCAGCUCGCUCUAGCAAUCCAUCAAGUGUAUGGAGCAGAGCAGCCAUGGCAUUAGCACCUAGUAUACCAAAAUAAAAGCUCCUCAUGCGAAGGCAUGCAUGGAGGAUUAAUGAACUGUUACCUUCACACACAUGUCCGUUCACAACUUCUCCAGACUUUUACGGUACAUCAAGCUCCGUUUUUUCAAGUAAACAACACUAGAUUAUGUUUUUUCAUUAGAUAGAGAAAAAAUAAAUACAACCUGCCCCUAGGAGCGAAAAAAAGAAGAAGAAAAAGCCCGUCUUUACAAAUUAUAUACUGAUAGGUAAUAACUCUCUAAGUCAUUUUGUUCCUGCCAUAGUCCAAGUCUUCUUCCUCUAUUUUUGCUAGGAGGGUUAUUGUCGUGGUCUCCUUGUUAGAAAUUUUGUUGGUUCCUCUCCUUCCGUAUCUUCUAGACGACAAGGAGAAUUAGGGAGCGCAAUCCCCGCUUUGGCAUAAAUGUCGUGUUUGGCACACACAUUGAUAGGGGUGGCUAACAAGCCGACUCGGCUCGACUCGUAAAAACUCAUUAAGUUAAUGAGCUAGCUUGGCUCGACUCGUUAACAUAACGAGUUAAAAAUGGAACUCGACUCGACUCAUUAAAAAGUCCGAGUUGACUCAUUAAACGUGUUACACCAAAAAACAUGGUUUGAAAUUCAUAUGCAAUAUAAUUUGUGAUUCUAUGACAAAAAUUAUGAUUGGCGUGCUAUGUAUCAUGGCUCAUAAGAUUGUACUACAAUGUAUAAUUAUGAGUAUAUGACUUUUACACCUGUAAAAUAUGAACAAUUAACUUCUAUCUUAGUGUAUCAUGAGCUCAACGAGCUAAUCGAGUAACUCACGAGCUAGCUCGAGUUGGCUCGUUAAGUAAACGAGUAAAAGUUCAAACUCAUUAACUACUCGAGUUAAGUCGAGCCGAGCCGAGUUUUACACAAGUUGAGCUAGCUCGUAAGUUCGAUUUUUUUUCCACCCCUGCACAUCGAGCUCUGUUUCGCUAUUGAUGUUGGUUGACACGGUGAACUUUGACUCUUUGAGUAUCAAUUAUCAAACGGUGUACUCCUACCGUCUUACGUGCCAUUGCCAUCCCGCGCGGCCGCACCGUCCCAAACUCCCACCGACGCAAGCAAGCGCCGCCCUUCCGCUUGGGCCGUUUUACGCCCGAAUGGUCCGAGACCUACCUAUUGGGCCUUUGGACCGUGUGACGCCACAUUUCGCUCGCAGUGUCUGUCAGACCAGGGAUGGUGGCCCGUGGGCGCUGAGCAGGCCGGCCUUUCAUUUAGUUCGUGUCACCUGUAGGCGGCUAGGCCGGAGGGAAACUAACGUACACUUUUGUUGUUAUUUAUAACUUUAUCGACUAUAAAUUUUGAUAAGCAACAAAUCAAACAUGCCAUAAUCAAUUAGGCAAAAUUCAGUAAUUUACCUUAGCAAAAUUUAGUAAUGGAAAAAUUAGGAAAAACUAAAGUUAUAUUCCCUCCUCCUCAAAAAGAAUACAAUUUUAGAUUUUAAAUUUAUUCCAACAUAUAACGUACUCUAUAGUAUUGCUUUUUCGUCCAACCACCACUCAUUCACCCAUAUAUUACUAACCUAGCUACUCCACCAUUCCCAACUGUCCCUCAUUUGAUGAGUGGUCGAGUAUUUUUCCUAUACUAUACUAGUUUGUCUUUUAAAUAUUACAAUUGUAUUUUUCUUUUUUAGAAUUGAGGUAGUAAAUUUGUAAACAAAGUGAACAGGCCACCAACCUACUAGGUGGACCACUGUACACGAUAAUAUUAUUUGUGCUAUUGUGUUUAUUUUAAUCUAAGUUGCAAAUCAAGAGAGUAUUUUAUUUCAUUCAAAAAGGAAUAAUUUGUGAAACACUCAGCAACUGUAUAAUAUUAGCCGUGAAACUCGGUUAACCAUAAUUUUUUUUCAAAGGAACUAUACGAUAAUUUAAUUAUUUUACUAUCCGCAUUUUAUGGCUUAAGAAACAAGAGUAACAUACGGCACAUGCAACAACCACCAUUCUAGCUAGAGCUAGAAAUGUCGGCCCAACUUGUGAUAGCUAAUUACGUUCGAAUGGAAAAUCAUAUCACCAACAUGCAUGGUUUAAUCAUGGCAACGCUGAUGCGAAAGCUCUCGCAGAUCUAUUAUUUUUUCCCUGGAGAUUGAUCGAAAAUGAUGGCACAACGGUAUGUAAUGCUAUAACAGCAUAUAUUGUCUUGUAACACACCGUUUGCACUUAAAUUAGACAAUUAGUCCGAACGUACAUAAGAAGAUGAAUUGCGAUAGACCAUUCUAGCUCGUCACGAGCUGAAUAGUUCUCGCACUAUUAUACCCGAGAUCAAUUAGCAGAGUAUUAAUAAGGUAAAGUUAUUUUCAUAAACUCUGUACGACGAUAGUGCAUACAUACCAAUCUUUAACAAAGGGACAAAUUAUCGACGGCAUUUGUAUGUUCAUGUGCUAUUCUAUGGCACGGGUGCUCUUUUUUUUUGGCUUAAGCAACGCGUGAUUAAUGGUUAACAGAUUAAGGUCAAGCGAAAUGGACCGAACUGACCCUACAUUGCAUGAAUAAUGCAGAGGUGAUGAUGUUGGCCGUAGGCCGUACGUAGAAACUUAUGUUGGACACACAUGUAAGUACUAGUAGUCUAGUAGCACUAAUAAAGUUAACUAAUAAAUUAUAUAUGAUGUCACUUUAAAAAAUACAGAUUCAAAUUCGAUAUAUUGAAGUUGAACAAAUUAAAUUCUAGCUAGUUAGUAUGCACACAUUCACACUCAUAUUUGUUUUUGUGUUGUAAUUUAUAGAAGUUAAAAUUCAACUUGCAAUUUGUUAGUAAAAACAUAACUAUUUAGAUGACUAGAAACAUAUCCUUCUGUUGUAAUGUGCCAGGCUCAUAUAAGUAGAAAUAUGCUAUUAGAAAAUUAGAGAUAGUACUCUGUGCGUGGUGGGAGGAGGGAUGAAAAAAUGACGAGUUCGAUUUUAAGGUAGUAGAGAUAUGUACAAAGCAAUAGGAUAUUCCUAUUGAGAUUAAAAUACAUUCCCCUGCCCAGCUCCCCUCGUAUGAUUAAUGUACCUGCAUAUUUCGUCUCAUCUCGGCACCAAUCGAUGGCGUCAAGCCUGUAGCUAAGCUAGCUAUAUAAGAUGCAGCGUGGCACCAGCCUCUCUUGCAAGCCACGGCCAGCGAAAAAGCUUAAAAAAAACUGCAGUUAUUUAGGUAGGAUUAAGCAUACGCGCACGGCGCAUCAUAUCGCUCACUCUGCAUGGCUUCGGCUUCUUCUGUCAGCUUAAUGCUGCUCGUGGCUGCAGCUAUGGCCUCAGCCGCCUCGGCGCAGCUGUCGGCGACGUUCUACGACACGUCGUGCCCAAACGCAUUGUCCACCAUCAAGAGCGCAGUGACGGCCGCCGUGAACAGCGAGCCCCGAAUGGGAGCCUCGCUGGUCAGGCUGCACUUCCACGACUGCUUCGUCCAAGCAAGUUUUGAUCACCUAAUCUAAUCAGCUGUACAAGUAGUUCUCCUUAGACUGUACUUUGAGACAAGGAAAUUAAUAACAGAGGAUGUAUCUAUGGACUUCACUGAUGAUGCAGGGCUGUGACGCGUCUGUUCUGCUGUCCGGCCAGGAGCAGAAUGCAGGCCCGAACGCUGGGUCACUUCGGGGAUUCAACGUCGUCGACAACAUCAAGACGCAGGUCGAGGCCAUCUGCAGCCAGACCGUCUCCUGCGCCGACAUCCUCGCCGUCGCCGCCCGUGACUCCGUCGUCGCGGUAAGAUCACGGAUGAGAUUACUACAUGAUGCAUAUAUUUCUUGUAGACUGUAGUAGUACGUACUCCUAAUCGCUCUUGGUUUGGUUUGGAAUCCUUAUAUUUGCAGCUCGGAGGGCCGUCGUGGACGGUUCUAUUGGGAAGAAGGGACUCCACCACUGCGAACGAAAGCCAAGCAAAUACCGACCUCCCUGCCCCUUCCUCUAGCCUCGCUGAACUUAUCGGCAAUUUCUCCAGAAAGGGACUCGACGUAACCGACAUGGUUGCUCUCUCAGGUACAUAUAUAUGUACACAGAUUAUAUCAGUGAUUGAUUCUCUUACAAAUUUUCUGAUAAGAAUCAUAAUACGAUGAGAACUUGCAGGCGCACACACGAUCGGGCAGGCGCAGUGCCAGAACUUCAGGGACAGGCUCUACAACGAGACAAACAUCGACUCCAGCUUCGCGACGGCGCUCAAGGCCAACUGCCCACGGCCGACGGGCAGCGGCGACAGCAACCUGGCGCCGCUGGACACGACGACGCCCAACGCCUUCGACAGCGCCUACUACACCAACCUGCUGUCCAACAAGGGCCUCCUGCACUCCGACCAGGUGCUCUUCAACGGCGGCAGCACGGACAACACGGUCAGGAACUUCUCCUCCAACACGGCGGCGUUCAACAGCGCCUUCACGGCGGCCAUGGUGAAGAUGGGGAACAUCUCGC
This 5012-nucleotide long non-coding RNA is filed under the name Oryza sativa (Asian cultivated rice). RNAcentral's name for it is "long non-coding RNA (OSAT_LNC001424)". Lineage: Eukaryota; Viridiplantae; Streptophyta; Magnoliopsida; Poales; Poaceae. The record is from RNAcentral.